AUGGGGUGCAGCAGGCGCGAAACCUUUACACUGCACGACAGUGCGAUAGGGGGACACCGAGUGCGAGGGCAUAGAGCCCUCGCUUUUCUGAACCGUAAGGAGGUUCAGGAACAAGGGCUGGGCAAGACCGGUGCCAGCCGCCGCGGUAACACCGGCAGCCCAAGUGAUGGCCGAUAUUAUUGGGCCUAAAGCGUCCGUAGCUGGCCGAGCAAGUUCGUCGGGAAAUCCACUCGCUUAACGAGUGGGCGUCCGGCGAAAACUGUUCGGCUUGGGACCGGAAGAUCCGAGGGGUACGUCUGGGGUAGGAGUGAAAUCCCGUAAUCCUGGACGGACCACCGAUGGCGAAGGCACCUCGGAAGGACGGAUCCGACAGUGAGGGACGAAAGCUAGGGUCUCGAACCGGAUUAGAUACCCGGGUAGUCCUAGCUGUAAACGAUGCUCGCUAGGUGUGGCGCAGGCUACGAGCCUGCGCUGUGCCGUAGGGAAGCCGUGAAGCGAGCCGCCUGGGAAGUACGUCUGCAAGGAUGAAACUUAAAGGAAUUGGCGGGGGAGCAC
Molecule: ribosomal RNA, 555 nt
Filed under: uncultured euryarchaeote
Lineage: Archaea; Methanobacteriati; Methanobacteriota
Description: bacterial SSU rRNA
Rfam family: Archaeal small subunit ribosomal RNA
Source: RNAcentral